Molecule: RNA transcript, 4621 nt
Organism: Gorilla gorilla gorilla (western lowland gorilla)
Lineage: Eukaryota; Metazoa; Chordata; Mammalia; Primates; Hominidae
Gene name: transmembrane protease serine 6-like
Exons: 5
Source: RefSeq, a predicted model, not a curated record
ACAAAAUUAGCCAGGUGUGGUGGCGUGCGCUGUAAUCCCAACUACUUGGGAGGCUGAGGAAGGAGAAUCACUUGAACCCAGUAGGCAGAGGUUGCAGCGAGCUGAGAUCGUGCCACUGCACUCCGGCAUGGGUGACAGAGCGAGACUCCAUCUGAAAAAAAAAAAAAAAAGAGGAAAGGAGAGGGAAAAGAGGCUUGUAGUUCUGCAGGCUGUACGGGCACGGCAUCAGUAUCUGCUUGGCUUCUGGGGAGGCCUCGGGAGCUUCCCGUGGUGGCGGAAGGCCAAGGGGGAGCCAGGGUAUCCCACGGUGAAGGAGGAAGCAAGAGAGAAGGACCGAGAGGGACCAAGAGCCAGACCGAGCGGGCUGAGCGGCGCCCACACAGGUUUCCAGAGGAAGGAGAUUUCGGGUGGGAAACAAACUCACCGGGUGGGGCAGUUCGUCACAGGAGCAUGUCCUGCUUGUCACUUACGAUUGCUGGACCUGUGACAGCAGCAGCUGGUCAGGCAUGGGCAGGGCAGGGCAGGAGAGGGCUCCCCUCCCACACACCGGGAGCGUCAGGCGUCCUUCGGGCAAUGGUCAGGCGGUUGUUAACUGCCCGUCUAACCUAAUACUUGUUGCAGCUGGCACCAGGGAAAGGCAGGCUCCCAAUAGACAGCAAACACCUGAAACCGGUGAUCAGCAGCUUCCCGGUAAGAUCUCAGGAGCUGGGCGAGGGGGCUGGAGCAGGCACACUAAGAGGCAAAAUGGCAGAGUUUAACUGGUCUAUGGCCUUCAAGGGACCUGCGGCUGGUCAUGAAGAGCGCCUCGAGCACACGCACGACUGCGUCAAACGCACCACACACGCUCCCCUCCCGAGCGCCAGCAGGCCGUGGCACACGCAGACAGCCCACUCCCGGGAGGAAUCUCGGGAGAAGGGAUGCGAGUCCCCGGAAGCGUGCCAAUCUAUAAGAACCCAAGUCAGGCUGGGCGCGAGGGCUCACGCCUGGAAUCCCAGCACUUUGGGAGGUCGAGGUGGGCGGAUCACGAGGUCAGGAGUUUGACACCAGUCUGGCCAACAUGGUGAAACCCUGUCUCUACUAUAAAUACAAAAAAUAGCCGGGCGUGGUGGCGCAUGCCUGAAUCGUUUGAAUCCGGCAGGUGGAGGUUUCACUGAGCUGAGAUCCCGCCAUUGCACUCCAGCCUGGGUGACAGAGCAAGACUCCGUCUCAAAAAACAAACAGCCCCUAGUCAAAGGUCAAACUGCAGAUUUGUCUUUCGAGUUGCCUGCUUGGGCCUUUUCCAAGUGUACUUGCCUUCAUUUUGUUCCCGCUCUAAAGCUGCUUAUUUUUAUUUCUUUAUUAUUAUUAUUUUUAGAUAGGUUCUCACUCUGUUACACAGGCUGGAGUGCAGUGGCGCAAUCUCGGCUCACCGCAACCUCCGCCUCCCGGGUUCAAGCAAUUCUCCUGCCUCAGCCUCCCGAGUAGCUGGGAUUACAGGCAUGCGCCACCACGCCCGUCUAAUUUUUGUAUUUUUAGUAGAGACAGGAUUUUACCACAUUGGCCAGGCUGGUCUUGAACUCCUGGCCUCAAGUGGUCUUCCUGCCUUGGCCUCUCACAGUGCUGGGAUUACAGGCAUGAACCUCCACACCCGGCCUCUAAAGCUUUUUAAUAAUCGUUCACUCCUGCUCUAAAACUUGCCUCAGUCUCUCCUUCUGCCUUCUGCCCCUCAGCUGAAUUUUUCUUCUGAGGAGGCAAGAAUUGAGAUUGCUGCAGAUCCGCGUGCAUUUGCUGUCGCUCGCAGACCUGGAGGAUGCUACCCUGGCGAUGGGACGCAGAGAGCUGGACCAGGCUGCUGGCUGUGUGGGCAGGGGAGGAGAGAGAGUGGGGAGAGGGCUGUGGACGGCGCUGCACCCUGUCUCUGCGUUUCUGGGGCUGGUCUCUAACUGAGCUCAAACUCCCCAUCCUAAUGCAGCCCUGCAGGCCGGGGGGAGGGCGCCGGAGACCUGACCCAGAGGAGGGAGACCUGACCCAGAGGAGGGAGACCUGACCCAGACGGGGGGAGACCUGACCCAGAGUGGGGAGACCUGACCCAGGAGGGGAGACCUGACCCAGAGGAGGGAGACCAGGCUGUAUCUCCGGCUGCAUCUGCAUCGGCCCCACCGUGUCUUCCUCUGGGAGCUGCGGCUCCUCGGGUCGGCUGUGAUGCAACGUGGGCAGGGGCGGGGGCUGGGGGUUGCAUUGGGUAAUGCCUGCUGCUACCGCUGUCUCCUUCAUCUCUGUCUGCAGCUCUGUGUCCAGCAGGGCCAAGAAGGGCAUUGGGUAAAGCUGAGAGCAGCCAGGGGGGUCUCCACAGGGGAAACACCACCGGGACAGUCACCUCCAGCAGCAUCCUGAUGUUCUGGGGACACUGGUGCUGGGGGGUCGGUGGGGAAGGGCUCCUGGGUCCUCAUGACCCUCUACCAUGGGUGAGCACAAAACACCAUGGCACUUCAGGGUCUUGGAAACAGACUAAAGGGGAUGUCAAGUCCUCAUUCCUUGGAGCUGCUGACAAGUCCAGAAUGGGUCAUGUUUUCUUGCCCCCACCCCAGCACCUCCGGGCAGUGGAAGGUCCAGAGAGAGGUCGGGGACUGGGGCUGCUCCUUGCGUCCUGGGCUUGUCUCUGUUGCCCCCUGGCCGGUGACUUGCGCUCUCCUGGAGCUGGUUCUUGCAGCCGAGGCCGUCACGGGGAUGCUGUGGCUGCUGCUCCUGACCCUCCCCUGCCUGAUGGGCUCUGUGCCCAGGAACCCAGUGAGGAGUUGGAGGCCUGCGUGUUUAGAAUGCAGGUCGGGCAGCUGAGGCUCUAUGAGGACGACCAGCAGACGAAGGUGGUUGAGAUCGUCCGUCACCCCCAGUACAACGAAAGCCUGUCUGCCCAGGGUGGUGCGGACAUCGCCCUGCUGAAGCUGGAGGCCCCGGUGCCGCUGUCUGAGCUCACCCACCCGGUCUCGCUCCCGUCUGCCUCCCUGGACGUGCCCUCGGGGAAGACCUGCUGGGUGACCGGCUGGGGUGUCAUUGGACGUGGAGGAAAGAAACCGUGAGCUAAGGGAGGUCGGGAACUCCUGGGCCCCGCAGCGUCAGCCCCUGGAGCGGACCGUCUCAUUCCCACCACAACACAGUCCAGGGGGAGUCCUGGUCCCAUGCUUUUCCCAAAUAGUUUCUUUUUUAAAAAAUCUUUUAUUUAAAAACUUGUUUUUGAGGCAGGGUCUUGCUCUGUCACCCAGGCUGGAGUGCAGUGGUGCAAUCACAGCUCACUACAGCCUCAAACCCCCAGGAUCAAGUGAUCCUCCCACCUCAGCCUCCCGAGUGGCUGGAACCACAGGUGCGAGCCACCACACCGGGCUGAGUUUUUUUCUUUUUGUAGGGAUGGGGUUUCGCUGUGUUGCCCAGGCCGGUCUCAAACUCCUGGGCUCAAGCGAUCCUCCCCCCUCAGCCCUCCAAGCAUUUAAUAGCUGGGACUACCAGUGUGUGCCACCACGCCUGGCUAAUUUUAUUUUAUUUUUUUUGAGACAGAGUCUCUCUCUGUCAUCCAGGCUGGAGUGCAGUGGUGUGAUCUUGGCUCACUGCAACCUCCGCCUCCUGGGUUCAAGUGAUUCUCCUAACUCAGUCUCCUGAGUAGCUGGGAUUAUAGGCGUCAGCCACCAUGCUCGGCUAAUUUUUGUAUUUUUAGUAGAGAUGGGGUUUCACCAUGUUGGCCAGGCUGGUCUGGAACUCCUGGGCUCAAGUGAUCCACCCGCCUCGGCCUCCCAAAGUGCUGGGGUUACAGGUGUGCGCCACCGCGCCCGGCCCCUAGUCAUUUCUAAGAGUGAGUCCUGAGGUUCCAGGCUCCUGUGCCCAGGACUGCAGCCUUGGGGCUCACCCCCUGGCCAGGGAAGGCCCAGCUCUGAGCGAAUUGUAUGCCUCAGCUCUGGACAAAACGAGAAGCUGCAGCCUUGUCCCCGCCAGGCCCCUGUGCCUCACCUCGCAUCUCCUUGCAGAACCACUGCCCUGGCCCCUCAGCUUGCGGGAGGCCCCUCAGCUUGCGGGAGGUGAAGGUCAGGAGCAACGUCCUCUGUAACCAGAUCUGUUGCCGCCGCUUUCCUACCAACCACACUGAGCGGUUUGAGCGGCUCGUCAAGGACGACAUGCUGUGUGCCGGGGACGGGAACCACGGCUCCUGGCCAGGCGACAACGGGGGCCCCCUCCUGUGCAGGCGGAAUUGCACCUGGGUCCAGGUGGGGGUGGUGAGCUGGGGCAAACUCUGCGGCCUUCGCGGCUACCCCGGCAUGUGCACCCGCGUGACGAGCUACGUGUCCUGGAUCCGCCAGUACGUCCCGCCGUUCCCCAGACCCUAGCUGGGGUGCAGUGGGGUCUGCAUGAUCCAGGAGGGCCCGUCUUCCUUGUGGACACCCCUGCUGCUCCCCCGUCUCAGCCUCACCCUCCCGCAGGUCCCUGCCCCGAGACCCUUCUGCUCCUCUUGGUCUCUCAAGGCUCUGUGUUUUCCUGCCGGCAGGGGGCUCGGGGAGCCGGGUAGGGGCCCUCAAAGAUGAGUCGGGAGUGGAAACAGAAUCCCAGAAAUCCUAGACGGCUGCUUGUGACUUGACUCCAUUAAACAGUGUGGAAACCG